Long non-coding RNA from Oryzias melastigma (Indian medaka), 772 nucleotides. RefSeq lists it as uncharacterized. Lineage: Eukaryota; Metazoa; Chordata; Actinopteri; Beloniformes; Adrianichthyidae. The record is from RefSeq and is a predicted model, not a curated record. The transcript is spliced from 3 exons.
UCACCUCAGCAGUCUCAGUGCUGUUUGGUGAGACAGACAGACAGAAGAAGAAGAGAUUUUUAUAAAGAAAAUAAAGAGUUAAAGACUGUGGGUAUCUGGAAGCAGCUCCAUGUUCCUGAAGGUCCACAUGACUGCAGACGACCAAUGAGGAGACGGCUAACCUGAACAGAAACCAAAGAACUUUGAGGAACCUCCAAGGACGUUCAAGGUCAACUUCCAGGUCAAAGUAAGGCUCAAAGGCAGCAGGAGCUUGUUUAUGGAGGAACGUCUCAGCCGGGAUUCUUCUCUGGAGACUUGGUGGGACUGAGGUGGGACUGAGGUGGGGCUCUGCUGCCCUCACAUGGAGCUGAGCACCAAAUGCAGACAAGUUCAUGAGCCAUCGGUUGAACAUCAUCAUGAUUCUGGUGGAUCCGGAGCAGAAACGGGACGACCUCUUCAGGACUGCGUCGGGAUCUGUGGUUCUCCUGUUUGAGCCUGAGGACACGAUCUCUGCUCAGUCAAGUUCUCACAGAGUUCAAUGACGGGAGAAGAGACAUUACAAAGUGAGCAGUCACACAAUUUGUGUAUUUCGAGAUUUUUACUUGGCUUCUUCAUGUUUUUAGUUUGUUUGUAAAAAUGAUCUGAUGGGUAAAAAUGUGUCUUCUGACCCGAAUCUGAAGGCCUCAUUACACCAGACGGGUUUAAAACUUCUGCCUCCAAAUGAUUCCUUCGAAUAAUUUUUGAGCAGCGACUCACUUAAAAAGAUGAAUAAACCACAGAUGAUCCUCUGACA